AUGGCCUCCUCCAACCCCAGCUCCGGCGCCACCGCCGCCGACGACCUCGACCAGCUCCUCGACAGCGCCCUCGAUGACUUCACCAGCCUCGAUCUCGCCGCCGCCCCCAAAAGCAGCGGCGAGGCAUCGGCAUCGUCGUCGUCCGGGAGCGCGAGGCCGGUGAAGGGUCUGGGGAUGUCGCUGCCUGACCCCAGGGCGCCAAGGAGGCGGGCGGCGAGGCAACCCCCGCCGCCGCCGAGGGGCGCGCACGCGUCGGAGGCGCUCGAGAAGCUGACGCGCGAGACGCGGGAGGCGGUCCGGGGCCUCGAGACGGCCACCGGGGGGAUCGCAGGCCUGGAUGACGAGGCGAUGAUGGAGGACUUUGUGAAGCAGUUCGAGGAGUUCGCUGGCGCGCAGGAUAUGGAUUCUAUUGUUGAAACAAUGAUGAAACAACUUCUUUCCAAGGAGAUUCUUUACGAACCCAUGAAGGACAUUGUAGAGAAGUACCCAAAAUGGCUGGAGGAUAACAAAAGCAAGAUAAGCAAAGAAGAAUAUGAGCGUUACAGCAAUCAGCUUGAACUCAUGCUGAAACUUAAUGAGGUCUAUGAACAUGAGCCUGAGAAUAUGUCUAAGGUUUUUGAGAUCAUGCAAAACAUGCAAGAAUGUGGUCAGCCCCCCAGUGAUCUUGUUCAAGAUAUUGUUCCGGAUCUGGAUCUGAGCAAGUUGGGACAACUAUCUCCUGAGAUGCUUGAAUCAACAGAAAAUUGCUGCAUAAUGUGA
This 759-nucleotide ribosomal RNA is filed under the name Triticum aestivum (bread wheat). Its description in RNAcentral is "partial small subunit ribosomal RNA". The record is from RNAcentral. Lineage: Eukaryota; Viridiplantae; Streptophyta; Magnoliopsida; Poales; Poaceae.